This 181-nucleotide ribosomal RNA is filed under the name Veillonella parvula. RNAcentral describes it as "partial 23S ribosomal RNA". It matches the Rfam family "Bacterial large subunit ribosomal RNA", at positions 2744 to 2925 of the family's 2925-position model. The record is from RNAcentral. Lineage: Bacteria; Bacillati; Bacillota; Negativicutes; Veillonellales; Veillonellaceae.
GGUAGCUACGUUCGGGACGGAUAAACGCUGAAAGCAUCUAAGCGUGAAACCAGCCUUGAGAUGAGGUUUCUCAUAGCGUAAGCUAGUAAGAUCCCAUGUAGACGACAUGUAGAUAGGCCAGGUGUGGAAGAGCCGUGAGGUUUGGAGCUGACUGGUACUAAUCGAUCGAGGGCUUUACUUA